Molecule: RNA transcript, 286 nt
Organism: Otolemur garnettii (small-eared galago)
Lineage: Eukaryota; Metazoa; Chordata; Mammalia; Primates; Galagidae
Gene name: cytochrome c oxidase subunit NDUFA4 pseudogene
Exons: 1
Source: RefSeq, a predicted model, not a curated record
CUGCCACAAACAUGCUUCUCCAGACCCUGGGUCAGGCCAAGAAGCGUCCGAGCUCGAUACCCCUCUUUGUAUUUAUUGGAGCUGGAGGGACCAGAGCAGCACUGGAAGUCUUGUGUCUGGCAUUGUUCAAUCCAGAUGUUAGUUGGGACAGAAAGAAUAACCCAGAACCCUGGAACAAACUGGGUCCCACUGAUCAAUACAAGUUCUACUCAGUGAAUGCGGAUUACAGCACACUGAAGACAGAAGGUCCAGACUUCUAAACCACGUUUCACAAUUAAGCUGCUUA